AAAACAUCUCUUUUUGAAUAAAAUUUUAAGUUGACUCUGCCCAAUGAAGAAUUUUAAUGGCUGCAGUAAUUUAACUGUACAAAGGUAGCAUAAUAAAUUGUUUUUUAAUUGAAAACUUGAAUGAAGGAGGUGAUGAAAUAUAAACUUUUUUAAAGUAAUUAUUUGAAUUUAAUUUUUAAAUAAGAAAGUUUAAAUUUAUUUAAGGGACGAGAAGACCCUAUAGAAUUUUACAAUAAAGAUUGGUAAUAGAAGUAUAAUUUAUUUAUGUUUUUUUGGGAGGAAAAUUAAAAUUUUAAACUUUAAUUAUAUAAUUACAUAGGUUAAUGAAUUGAAUAGAUUUUAGUAAUAUUAAAUUUAAGAUUAAAUUACCUUAGGGAUAACAGUGUAAUAUUUUUUUAUAGUUCAUAUUAAAAAAAGUGUUU
This 422-nucleotide ribosomal RNA is filed under the name Epyris sp. RNAcentral's name for it is "partial large subunit ribosomal RNA". The record is from RNAcentral. Lineage: Eukaryota; Metazoa; Arthropoda; Insecta; Hymenoptera; Bethylidae.